This is a long non-coding RNA of Clarias gariepinus (North African catfish), 2214 nucleotides long. RefSeq lists it as uncharacterized. The transcript has 6 exons. NCBI's taxonomy places the organism in Eukaryota, Metazoa, Chordata, Actinopteri, Siluriformes, Clariidae. The record is from RefSeq and is a predicted model, not a curated record.
AUCAAAUUUCCAUCAAAAGUAUUGCGGUAACAGAUCUAAAAAUAAUAAGCGUAAAUAAAAGAAAAUGAAAGACUCUUAAAAUUAUAACGCACAAAAAUUAAAAAUAGGUGCAAAGUCAUUUAGAAAAACAAACAACGCGGUCACGGGUCGAAAAAUAAUAAGCGCAAAUUCCAAAUGUAAACCCAUUACAAAUUAUAUUGCACAAAACUGAAACACGAAUUCAGCAUUUUUCGAGUCACAAACAAAAUCAGGUUUUCCGCUCAUAUUUAAAUUUGUUGUGUGCUUAUGCUCCUUUCCCUUUUGCUCACAUUCUCAUGUUUUGCGCUUGCGUUUCAAAACUUUGCCGACAGAGUUUGAUGUAAAUUAGGGCGGGCUUCAGUGUCACUAUUGGUUAACUAGUCCGAAUUGACAGCUGCUCCUCUAGCCAAUCAGUCGAAGGGGGAGAUUACGUCACUCCAGCGCGACCCAUGACUUCUGUGGAUAACUCGUACAGGUAUGAAGAUGGAUAGCCCCCGUCAGCUGGCAACUGCUGGACAGUCUCAGGCAGUGACAAGGCUGCUUUUAGAGAGACUCUUGUCACGAUUACAGGAGGUCAUGCAGCGCUUGCCUCUGGACCUGGAUUAUUUAUAUUUUAUUUGCACAAAUGAUUUGACAUUGAUCACUUCACAUGCAAGUCGCGAACAUGUGCCUCACGACGUAAUGCAGUGCCUUUCAAACCUGUGUUCUGUUCUUUCUAAUUGCCUGGACACGAGACGUACCCCUUCAGUUGUUGUAAAUGAAACUGCUGGACCAACGGGACGUCCCAAAAUCACUGUAUCUGAACAGCAUCUCAGACGAUUGAUAGAAGUUGGUCUGACUGUAUCUUGCAUUUCAAAACUGCUUGGCAUGUCAACACCAACCGUGGAACGAAGAAUGCAAGAGUUUGGUAUUAGUGUGAGAGGAACAUACAGUCAAUUGACUGACGAGGAGUUAGACAAUCUUGUGGUUGCAAUCAAAACAACAUCACCACACUCAGGCUACAGAAUGAUGAGAGGACACUUGAAAGCUCGUGGUCAUCGAGUCCAGUGGAGCAGAGUCUGGGAUUCUAUGAAUAGAGUUGAUUCAGCUGGAGUCCUUGCUAGAUUGUCACAACUUGGACAUGUUGUGAGAAGAUCAUAUUCAGUUCAGGCUCCUCUAUCCCUCAUGCAUUUGGACACCAACCACAAGCUGAUUAGAUAUGGCUUAGUAAUAUUUGGGGGCAUAGAUGGCUACUCAAGAAAGAUCAUGUAUCUGGGGGCCACAAACAACAACAGAGCAGAGACUGCUUUAGGUUUCUUUCUCGAGGCAGUAGAGAAGCAUGGAGUUCCUUCACGGUAUGUAUGCACAUUUUAGUCUGUAUGUCUGUCCUUAUUAAAUGUAUUGUCUUAAUGUGUAGGGUAAGAGCAGACCAAGGUGUGGAAAAUGUGGACAUAGCAAGGUGGAUGUUCACUGUUCAGGGCUGUGGCAGGGGAAGUUUCAUUUCGGGGAAGAGCGUUCAUAAUCAGAGGAUCGAACGAUUGUGGAAAGACGUGUGGAUGUCGGUUUCAAAUGUGUAUUAUGAUGUUCUACAUAGUUUGGAAGAGAGUGGUUCUCUUGACCCAUCAAACAGCCUUCAUCUCUUCUGUGCACAUUAUGCUUUUCUUCCUCGCCUCCAAAGAGACCUAGAGACCUUCACUGAUGCAUGGAAUGACCAUUCCAUUCGUACAGAACAAAAUCUUUCCCCCAAUCAGCUGUGGGAAAUAGGACUUGCACAGAAUGCAGUCAAUGUUUCAUGCGACAUGGAGGACCUCAACAUUUUUGUGCAAGACAGAACUUACCCACUGGAGGAGCAGAAUGUUGGAGUAGUGGUCCCUCAGGUGGAGUGUCUGCUCUCUGAGUAUGAAAUGGCUCGACUAAGGACAACCAUUAAUCCAGUAUCCCAGUCUAGAGACUUUGGACAAGAUAUUUACUUAUCUGUGUUAAAUUUUGUUUAGCAGCUUCUUGAAUAACAUACUUUGAAGCUCAAAACAUCAGACUGUAAGUUAUGAUUUUUUUGUUCUGCAAAUUUUCCAGUGUAAUUUAACAACUGUGAAGUAGUACGCAGAAAAAAAAAAAAUCGUAGAAUUGUUAGCUUUAUUUUUCUUAAUGUAUAACUAAUGUGGUAAAUGUGUGUAUGCACUCCUUUGACAUGACAAAUAAAAGCAAUGGCUUUUAAAA